AGAGUUUGAUCCUGGCUCAGGAUGAACGCUGGCGGCGUGCCUAAUACAUGCAAGUCGAGCGAACGGACGAGAAGCUUGCUUCUCUGAUGUUAGCGGCGGACGGGUGAGUAACACGUGGAUAACCUACCUAUAAGACUGGGAUAACUUCGGGAAACCGGAGCUAAUACCGGAUAAUAUUUUGAACCGCAUGGUUCAAAAGUGAAAGACGGUCUUGCUGUCACUUAUAGAUGGAUCCGCGCUGCAUUAGCUAGUUGGUAAGGUAACGGCUUACCAAGGCAACGAUGCAUAGCCGACCUGAGAGGGUGAUCGGCCACACUGGAACUGAGACACGGUCCAGACUCCUACGGGAGGCAGCAGUAGGGAAUCUUCCGCAAUGGGCGAAAGCCUGACGGAGCAACGCCGCGUGAGUGAUGAAGGUCUUCGGAUCGUAAAACUCUGUUAUUAGGGAAGAACAUAUGUGUAAGUAACUGUGCACAUCUUGACGGUACCUAAUCAGAAAGCCACGGCUAACUACGUGCCAGCAGCCGCGGUAAUACGUAGGUGGCAAGCGUUAUCCGGAAUUAUUGGGCGUAAAGCGCGCGUAGGCGGUUUUUUAAGUCUGAUGUGAAAGCCCACGGCUCAACCGUGGAGGGUCAUUGGAAACUGGAAAACUUGAGUGCAGAAGAGGAAAGUGGAAUUCCAUGUGUAGCGGUGAAAUGCGCAGAGAUAUGGAGGAACACCAGUGGCGAAGGCGACUUUCUGGUCUGUAACUGACGCUGAUGUGCGAAAGCGUGGGGAUCAAACAGGAUUAGAUACCCUGGUAGUCCACGCCGUAAACGAUGAGUGCUAAGUGUUAGGGGGUUUCCGCCCCUUAGUGCUGCAGCUAACGCAUUAAGCACUCCGCCUGGGGAGUACGACCGCAAGGUUGAAACUCAAAGGAAUUGACGGGGACCCGCACAAGCGGUGGAGCAUGUGGUUUAAUUCGAAGCAACGCGAAGAACCUUACCAAAUCUUGACAUCCUUUGACAACUCUAGAGAUAGAGCCUUCCCCUUCGGGGGGCAAAGUGACAGGUGGUGCAUGGUUGUCGUCAGCUCGUGUCGUGAGAUGUUGGGUUAAGUCCCGCAACGAGCGCAACCCUUAAGCUUAGUUGCCAUCAUUAAGUUGGGCACUCUAAGUUGACUGCCGGUGACAAACCGGAGGAAGGUGGGGAUGACGUCAAAUCAUCAUGCCCCUUAUGAUUUGGGCUACACACGUGCUACAAUGGACAAUACAAAGGGCAGCGAAACCGCGAGGUCAAGCAAAUCCCAUAAAGUUGUUCUCAGUUCGGAUUGUAGUCUGCAACUCGACUACAUGAAGCUGGAAUCGCUAGUAAUCGUAGAUCAGCAUGCUACGGUGAAUACGUUCCCGGGUCUUGUACACACCGCCCGUCACACCACGAGAGUUUGUAACACCCGAAGCCGGUGGAGUAACCUUUUAGGAGCUAGCCGUCGAAGGUGGGACAAAUGAUUGGGGUGAAGUCGUAACAAGGUAGCCGUAUCGGAAGGUGCGGCUGGAUCACCU
This 1540-nucleotide ribosomal RNA is filed under the name Staphylococcus aureus. RNAcentral's name for it is "16S ribosomal RNA". It matches the Rfam family "Bacterial small subunit ribosomal RNA". The record is from RNAcentral. Lineage: Bacteria; Bacillati; Bacillota; Bacilli; Caryophanales; Staphylococcaceae. RNAcentral also lists the same sequence under 4 other names.